This 450-nucleotide ribosomal RNA is filed under the name uncultured bacterium. Its description in RNAcentral is "bacterial SSU rRNA". It matches the Rfam family "Bacterial small subunit ribosomal RNA", at positions 28 to 478 of the family's 1533-position model. The record is from RNAcentral.
GAUGAACGCUGGCGGCGUGCUUAACACAUGCAAGUCGAACGAAGCAUUUAAGACAGAUUUUUUCGGAAUGAAGUUUUUUAUGACUGAGUGGCGGACGGGUGAGUAACGCGUGGGUAACCUGCCUCACACAGGGGGAUAGCAGUUGGAAACGACUGGUAAUACCGCAUAAGCGCACAGCUUCGCAUGAAGCGGUGUGAAAAACUCCGGUGGUGUGAGAUGGACCCGCGUCUGAUUAGGUAGUUGGUGAGGUAACGGCCCACCAAGCCGACGAUCAGUAGCCGACCUGAGAGGGUGACCGGCCACAUUGGGACUGAGACAGGCCCAGACUCCUACGGGAGGCAGCAGUGGGGAAUAUUGCACAAUGGAGGAAACUCUGAUGCAGCGACGCCGCGUGAGUGAAGAAGUAUUUCGGUAUGUAAAGCUCUAUCAGCAGGAAGACAGUGACGGUAC